RNAcentral lists this ribosomal RNA (1058 nucleotides) under Escherichia coli. Its description in RNAcentral is "partial 23S ribosomal RNA". It matches the Rfam family "Bacterial large subunit ribosomal RNA", at positions 139 to 1238 of the family's 2925-position model. The record is from RNAcentral. Lineage: Bacteria; Pseudomonadati; Pseudomonadota; Gammaproteobacteria; Enterobacterales; Enterobacteriaceae. RNAcentral also lists the same sequence under 1 other name.
UUCGACACACUAUCAUUAACUGAAUCCAUAGGUUAAUGAGGCGAACCGGGGGAACUGAAACAUCUAAGUACCCCGAGGAAAAGAAAUCAACCGAGAUUCCCCCAGUAGCGGCGAGCGAACGGGGAGGAGCCCAGAGCCUGAAUCAGUGUGUGUGUUAGUGGAAGCGUCUGGAAAGGCGCGCGAUACAGGGUGACAGCCCCGUACACAAAAAUGCACAUACUGUGAGCUCGAUGAGUAGGGCGGGACACGUGGUAUCCUGUCUGAAUAUGGGGGGACCAUCCUCCAAGGCUAAAUACUCCUGACUGACCGAUAGUGAACCAGUACCGUGAGGGAAAGGCGAAAAGAACCCCGGCGAGGGGAGUGAAAAAGAACCUGAAACCGUGUACGUACAAGCAGUGGGAGCCUCUUAAUGGGGUGACUGCGUACCUUUUGUAUAAUGGGUCAGCGACUUAUAUUCUGUAGCAAGGUUAACCGAAUAGGGGAGCCGAAGGGAAACCGAGUCUUAACUGGGCGUUAAGUUGCAGGGUAUAGACCCGAAACCCGGUGAUCUAGCCAUGGGCAGGUUGAAGGUUGGGUAACACUAACUGGAGGACCGAACCGACUAAUGUUGAAAAAUUAGCGGAUGACUUGUGGCUGGGGGUGAAAGGCCAAUCAAACCGGGAGAUAGCUGGUUCUCCCCGAAAGCUAUUUAGGUAGCGCCUCGUGAAUUCAUCUCCGGGGGUAGAGCACUGUUUCGGCAAGGGGGUCAUCCCGACUUACCAACCCGAUGCAAACUGCGAAUACCGGAGAAUGUUAUCACGGGAGACACACGGCGGGUGCUAACGUCCGUCGUGAAGAGGGAAACAACCCAGACCGCCAGCUAAGGUCCCAAAGUCAUGGUUAAGUGGGAAACGAUGUGGGAAGGCCCAGACAGCCAGGAUGUUGGCUUAGAAGCAGCCAUCAUUUAAAGAAAGCGUAAUAGCUCACUGGUCGAGUCGGCCUGCGCGGAAGAUGUAACGGGGCUAAACCAUGCACCGAAGCUGCGGCAGCGACACUAUGUGUUGUUGGGUAGGGGAGCG